GACGAACGCUGGCGGCGUGCUUAACACAUGCAAGUCGAACGGAAAGGCCCCUUUGGGGGUACUCGAGUGGCGAACGGGUGAGUAACACGUGAGUAACCUGCCCUUGACUUCGGGAUAACUUCAGGAAACUGGGGCUAAUACCGGCUAGGAAUCCUUGCUGCAUGGUGGGGGUUGGAAAGCUUCGGCGGUUUUGGAUGGACUCGCGGCUUAUCAGCUUGUUGGUGGGGUAGUGGCUUACCAAGGCUUUGACGGGUAGCCGGCCUGAGAGGGCGACCGGCCACAUUGGGACUGAGAUACGGCCCAGACUCCUACGGGGGGCAGCAGUGGGGAAUAUUGCACAAUGGGCGGAAGCCUGAUGCAGCAACGCCGCGGGCGGGAGGACGGCCUUCGGGUUGGAAACCGCUUUCAGCAGGGGCGAAGCUUGUGGUGACGGUACCUGCAGAAGAAGCACCGGCUAACUACGUG
Molecule: ribosomal RNA, 465 nt
Filed under: uncultured bacterium
Lineage: Bacteria
Description: partial 16S ribosomal RNA
Rfam family: Bacterial small subunit ribosomal RNA
Source: RNAcentral